GAUGAACGCUGGCGGCGUGCCUAAUACAUGCAAGUCGAGCGAACAGACGAGAAGCUUGCUCCUCUGACGUUAGCGGCGGACGGGUGAGUAACACGUGGAUAACCUACCUAUAAGACUGGGAUAACUUCGGGAAACCGGAGCUAAUACCGGAUGAUAUAUUGAACCGCAUGGUUCAAUAGUGAAAGACGGUUUUGCUGUCACUUAUAGAUGGAUCCGCGCUGCAUUAGCUAGUUGGUAAGGUAACGGCUUACCAAGGCAACGAUGCGUAGCCGACCUGAGAGGGUGAUCGGCCACACUGGAACUGAGACACGGUCCAGACUCCUACGGGAGGCAGCAGUAGGGAAUCUUCCGCAAUGGGCGAAAGCCUGACGGAGCAACGCCGCGUGAGUGAUGAAGGUCUUCGGAUCGUAAAACUCUGUUAUUAGGGAAGAACAAAUGUGUAAGUAACUGUGCACAUCUUGACGGUACCUAAUCAGAAAGCCACGGCUAACUACGUG
RNAcentral lists this ribosomal RNA (497 nucleotides) under uncultured bacterium. Its description in RNAcentral is "partial 16S ribosomal RNA". It matches the Rfam family "Bacterial small subunit ribosomal RNA", at positions 28 to 507 of the family's 1533-position model. The record is from RNAcentral.